RNAcentral lists this long non-coding RNA (2075 nucleotides) under Salmo salar (Atlantic salmon). RNAcentral's name for it is "lncRNA (ENSSSAG00000105501.1)". Lineage: Eukaryota; Metazoa; Chordata; Actinopteri; Salmoniformes; Salmonidae. The record is from RNAcentral.
UGUGAUUAAGUUAGGGCUGUGUACAGUGUUGUGUGUGUGUGAUAAAGUUAGGUCUGUGUACAGUGUUGUGUGUGUCCAAACUUUUGACUAGUACUGUAUAUACUGAACAAAAAUUAACAUAACAUGCAACUAUUUCAAAGAUUUUACUGAGUUACAGUUCACAUGAGGUAAUCAGUCGAUUGAAAUAAAUUCAUUAGGCCCUACUCUAUGGAUUUCACAUGACUGGGGAAAAAAAUGGGCAUCACAAUGGGCCUCAGGAUCUCGUCACAGUACAUUCAGUGCAUUCAAAUUGCCAUCGAUAAAAUGCAAUUGUGCCUGCCCAUACCAUAACCCCACCGCCACAACGUGGCUCUCUGUUCACAACGUUGACAUCAGCGAACUACUCGCCCACACGACACCAUACACAUGGUCUGCGGUUGUGAAGCCGGUUGGACAUACUGCCAAAUUCUCUAAAACAGCGAUGGAGGUGGCUUUUUGUCGAGAAAUGGACAUUCAAUUCUCUGGCAACAGCACUGGUGGACAUUCAUGCAGUCUGUUUGACAUUUGUAUGCUCCCUCAAAACUUCUUCUCUUCUAUUUAUCCAAUUUGAGAAAUCUACUUUUAUAGGACUGCAUAAGUUGCUAUAUCUUUAUACUGACUGUCCAAGAUCCUUUUCCUUAAGGUUGAUCAAUAUUUACUCUAAACUCCAUAGUGCUGUGUUGAAAUCAUUAAGAAUGUAUAAGUAUGAUGGUCUAACAGCAAUCAUGUCUUCUGUGUGUUAAAACCAAACCAUUCCCCUGAUCCCUAUUCAUGUACAGUAGGUUGCACCAAAACCAUCCCUCCAAUCUGAAUUCAUGUCCCCUGUGGGUUACAUCCAAACCCUCUCCCCUUCUCACCUGUCUUCAAAUCUAAUCAAUCACAUUUUUUAUAAGACCUUUUUACAUCAGCAGAUGUCACAAAGUGCUUGUACAGAAACCAAACCUCAAACCCAAAAGAGCAAGUAAUGCAGAUGUCUUGUAUGAGGAUGGCAGGAUGGUUGACAAUUUGACCCCCCAUGGCUCUUCUUCGUGGUGUAGCGUCUUGAUAAAGAGUUUGAGGGCUGUCUUAGAGGCUCCAUACGCUGCUAGGCAGGGGAAGACAUGUUGAUAAGAUGUGAGAUAACUACACUAACUACUUCCCGCACCAACUGAUUGCCUUUUUGAAAAUGAAUCAUGUUUCUGUUUAUGAUUAUCCUGAUUGGGUUGGGCCGAUGUAUAAUAACUAGACACCAACCAAUAUAUUGUUUCAACAAUAUUAUCGUCCAGCAUAUAUACCACCAAUAACCGAUAUUCAAUAAAUAGGAUGAAAAUGGGGAAACUCAUGCUGAUCUGAUGACGUGCGGUCAUUUUCAUGACUGGGGGCGGGGCCACAUUGAUAUUUUAAAUUCUUAUGGGGCCCCUGAUUAGUUUAUCAAUACCGUUCAAUACCGUUCUUCCAAUCACUUGCUUGCUUUUCUGAUGGUAUGAGUCUAUAAAAGCGUUGGAUGAACAAUUGAAUCAGUUUGGGAGAAGACUUCUUGAAGUGUGGUUGGUACCUUUACAGUAAUUUUUACAUUGAAGUAGCUAAUGCUAACACUUUUUUUAUUCAACAAUGGGCAUAACAUGCAAAUGGUGUAGCUAAUGAUGUAAUUACCUUGACAUGCUUUUCAGAUAGUGACUAGACAGAAGCCACUGAGUCUUCUUUAUUCUAAAUGGAAAAGUAAAAUAAAUACAAACUAAUCAAGCUAAUUUAUAAGGUAAAAACCAGUUGCUAGCCAGUCAGCAGAACACACUGUUGCUUCUCAGCAUAGGCAGCUAUCUAUUGCUACUUUUAGUUUCAGCACCUUGCCCGAUCUGUCUCCCCUUUUCCCGGGAACAGCUAGCACACAUAUGUUAGUCAUAGCAACAGUAACUAUGGGGUGGAGUUGUGUAAGAAAAGCAUCGAAUAGCAUCCAAAACGUUUGUUUGUGAAGCAGAUCGGCGCGACAUUCGGUAGGCAGUCAGAUCUGGCACUAACACCGACAGACAGUCAGACAGUCAGACAGACAGACAGACAGACAGACAGACAGACAGACAGAC